GCACAAAUGUCUUCUAUGAACACAGAAUGUUUGCCCCAAAUGGAUUAUACCAAAUGUUACAAUGGAUCAUUUUUUUGUAAUAUUUCAGUGUCAAAUUUAAUUUUUCUAGUGGAAAAUGAACUGGAGCUCAAAAACAGUGAAGUCAGAAGGUGAACGGGGAAUAAAAAGUUAGUUACCUGCUCCAGAAAUCCAGAAGCACUGCAGAUAAUGGAGCUGGAGAAUGGCACUGUGAAGACUGGGUUCUUUCUCCUGGGAUUCAGCGACCAUCUGGAACUUCAGAGUCUCCUUUUUGCAGAAUUUUUUUCCAUCUACUCUGUUACUCUGAUGGGGAACCUUGGAAUGAUUUUAUUAAUCACAAUCAGUUCCCACUUGCACACUCCUAUGUACUUUUUCCUCUGUGUGUUGUCCUUCAUAGAUGCAUGCUACUCUUCUGUCAUUGCUCCCAAAUUACUUGUGAACUUGGUUUCUGAAAAGAAGACCAUUUCUUACAAUGGCUGUGUUGCACAGUUAUAUUUCUUCUGCUCUUUAGUUGACACAGAAUCUUUCCUCUUGGCUGCCAUGGCUUAAGACCGGUACAUAGCAAUCUGUAACCCGCUGCUCUAUACAGUGAUUAUGUCCAAGAAGGUUUGUUGCCAGCUUGCAAUUGGAGCAUUUUUGGGGGGCACUAUGAGCUCAAUUAUUCAUACCACGAACACUUUCCAUCUGUCAUUCUGCUCCAGAGAUAUUAACCAUUUCUUUUGUGAUAUCUCCCCACUCUUCUCUCUGUCCUGCACUGACACAUACAUGCAUGACAUCAUUCUGGUGGUCUUUGCCAGUUUUGUGGAAGCAAUCUGUCUUCUAUCAGUUCUCCUUUCUUAUGUCUUCAUUAUGGCAGCUAUUCUUAGAACAGGUUCUGUGGAGGGAAGAAGAAGAGGGUUCUCCACUUGUGCUUCCCACCUGACUGUGGUCACUAUGUAUCAUGGUACCUUGAUCUUCAUUUAUUUGCGUCCCAGCACUGGCCAUUCACUGGAUAUUGACAAAGUGACCUCUGUGUUCUAUACUUUGAUUAUACCUAUGUUGAACCCUCUAAUUUACAGUCUAAGGAACAAAGAUGUCAAAAAUGCUUUUAGAAAAGUGAUUGGCCGAAAAUUACUUCCUUAAGGUGAAACUGGGCCUGACAUCAUUUCAACAAUACCUGCUCUUUGACUUGGUUCUAACUGUUGGAAAAGUCAGUUUAAUAUGAAUGUUCUCCAUAUCUAUGGGUAACGAAUCUUCACCCACAGAAUAGGGUGAAAGCCUGACCUUAGAGUAUGGCUCUCUCAUAUCAUUUAUAUUACGUCUAUUAUUUUAAAGUUGAAAUUUUUAAUAUUUACUUCAGGGGAAGAUUUACCUUACAUUUAAUUUCCUGUAUCUCAUAUUUUUACUUUCUUUCUCUUUUCACCACAAACUUUUGAGACAGCCAUGUGGGAACAGCUCCCGGCCAAAAAUCUAAUCGGCCUAGGUACUGGGACAACUGCGCAUUGAGCUGGAGCCACAGAAGUUCAAAGUGUUUGCGGUGGGGAGGAGCCUGGCCCCUCCUCUUCCUGGGUGGAAUCUGGAAUUCAAUCUGUGAAGUGGGAAGCCUACAUUAGAAUGAACUCUAGCCUUGCAUAGAGUCCCUGUUACCCCCUCUUUCUCUUUUUGCACAAUAAAUCCCAUUAUGAGCACCCUUCAAAUAAUCUGCAAGCCUAGUUUUUCAUGGCCGUGUCAUAAGGACCCAGCUCUUAGCUGAACUAAGGAAAAAGUCCCGCAACAUUCUUGGUGCACAAUAUAGGGGCUUGAUAAGCAAUGAGUGAAAUGGGGACUCAAAACCUCUCACUGUCCUUUCUAAGGCUUUUCAUCCUUGGACUUCUGAAAGAGGGGAAACUGUGCCCCCACCCGCAUGGCUCCUGGGAGUCAGGAAAUUUGGCCUCGGCUCCAGGCUCCAGGUCCUUUUCCUUUCUUUUUCUGGACGACCUGCAACAGUGGCUCCCCACUUUCCUCGCUACUCUCUCCUCCCUGCCAGGGACUGGGAUGCAUGGGCCAAGGGCCCUGCACUGCUGUUUCCCCCAGGCACUGGGGUUCAACUCCAUUGGACAGCAAUUAAGCAUAAGCUUCUCUCCCUGGUGGAGGAACAUCUUGCAAGAGAAUAAGAGUUUUUUUCCUCAGGCAUUUUUGAACUGUCUUUUCUUCCCUCUUCUCCUCCCAUCAGCAGUUAACUUUGAAAGUUUUUUUUUUUUUUCUUUUAGAAGAUGUUUUGCUAGGCUAGGAAUGAUAAUGAUCCCUGUGUAUAUUCUCUAUAAGUUUUGGUUGUGAAAAGGAUCUUGUGGGGACUGGAUUUUCUUCUGCCUGUCUAUGUUUGUGUUGUGUUGUGAUGUCUGUAAAAAGAGCUCUAAUUAAUUUGGCCUAAAGGAAGACACGGGCUUGGAUCAAAUAUUUUUUAAAGGGAAGAUAAAAGCUGUGGUACCUUUCAGUUCAUGUGACUUUAAUCUUUGAGAAAUAAAAACAGCCUUAAAGAUUAUUGGUAAAGUGCAGGUGGCAUUAAAAUAUAAAUAGGUGGGCUAAAUUAUGCUGGUCAGAUGCAAGCUUUGAUAAGUGUUUUGAGGUUAUAAACUGCUUUUUGCAUUUUGAGAACUAUUUAACUUGCCAGCUUCACAUUGGUAAGGCCUGGGGACAGAUGGAACUAACUCAGCCCUUAAUAAUGCUGGGAAUCAAAACUUGGCUGCCCUUAGCACACAAUUAAAACAACUUACCAGGUUUUACAUUAAAUUUAAAAAUUGCUAGGAGUUACCAUUAUAACAUGUCACUGAGACUAUUGGAAAUAAAUUUACAUACAAGGUAUGUAAGAACGGUAAAAUGUAUUUUUUAGUAAAAGGUUAUAAAAAGCAUGGAAAUGUAAAUUUUUGUCUAGGGUUAAAGGAUUGCUUUAAAUUGGAUAAGGUAAAGCUGAAGUUUCAAAUAAGUGGUGGAAAGAUUAUGGAAAUUAACCUCGCAGAAGAGGGUCUCUGUGUGAACAUAUUAACCUAAAUUCAAAAGGGUAUUACAUGGUUUUUCUGUAAAUUGAGCAUUGAAAUAAAAGCACAACAAGGUAUUCUUAAGGCAACAAGGUAUUCUUAAGGUUCUCUGUGUGAACAUACUAACUAAAUUCAAAAGGCUACUACAUGGU
RNAcentral lists this long non-coding RNA (3163 nucleotides) under Homo sapiens (human). RNAcentral describes it as "novel transcript". The record is from RNAcentral. Lineage: Eukaryota; Metazoa; Chordata; Mammalia; Primates; Hominidae.